RNAcentral lists this ribosomal RNA (229 nucleotides) under uncultured bacterium. RNAcentral's name for it is "partial 16S ribosomal RNA". It matches the Rfam family "Bacterial small subunit ribosomal RNA", at positions 565 to 793 of the family's 1533-position model. The record is from RNAcentral.
GCGCAUGCAGGUGGUUUGUUAAGUCAGAUGUGAAAGCCCGGGGCUCAACCUCGGAAUUGCAUUUGAAACUGGCAAACUAGAGUACUGUAGAGGGGGUAGAAUUUCAGGUGUAGCGGUGAAAUGCGUAGAGAUCUGAAGGAAUACCGGUGGCGAAGGCGGCCCCCCUGGACAGAUACUGACACUCAGAUGCGAAAGCGUGGGGAGCAAACAGGAUUAGAUACCCUGGUAG